GGGUAACCGCCCCUCUCUCUUUCCGGCUGGUACGCCAUCAUGUAAGCGAGUUUUUCUGAAUUUCUACAAAACUUAAGUCAACAUGGGAGCAUAUAGGUAUAUGCAGGAGUUAUGGCGCAAGAAGCAGUCCGAUGUGAUGCGCUUCCUGCUGCGUGUUCGCUGCUGGCAGUACCGCCAGUUGUCCAACCUGCACCGCGCGCCCAGACCCACCAGACCUGACAAGGCCCGCAGACUCGGGUACAAGGCCAAGCAGGGUGAGUGA
This is a long non-coding RNA of Notothenia coriiceps (black rockcod), 262 nucleotides long. RefSeq lists it as uncharacterized. The record is from RefSeq and is a predicted model, not a curated record. Lineage: Eukaryota; Metazoa; Chordata; Actinopteri; Perciformes; Nototheniidae. The transcript has 2 exons.